GUCGUAACAAGGUUUCCGUAGGUGAACCUGCGGAAGGAUCAAUUAUACGUUACAAAAACUUAAACCUGAACUUGUAGUGGGCUGGAGCAAUCCGGCCUGAGGUGAGCGUAUUCGUGCGCUUCAUCACUGCUAACCCAGUAUAUCAACCUUUGUAUAUUCAGAACUAGUUGUGUUUACUUCACAACUCUGGGCGAUGGAUGUCUCGGCUCAGGCAACGAUGAAGGACGCCGCUAAAUGCGAUAAGCACUGUGACUGGCAGAAUUCCGCGAAUCAAUAGAAUGUUGAACGCAUACUGCACUUCUUGGUUAUUCCAGGAAGUAAGUCUGGUUCAGGGCUGCUAGCAUCUUAUGUUGCCAAUGAUGCAAAUUUCUAAUUUGUUAGUUGGUAAACGUUCUUGUGCGCUAACGACGUGACCUCUGGUGUACCGCCGGCGCAUGAAAUUCAAGAGCUUAUGCUUUGUACGAUCUCGCAUUGUGCUUUAACCUGUUUAAUUGCGCACUGUAUUUGUAUAAGCAUUGCCCUUAAAAGCUUUUUCUUUCUGGCAUGAACUCAGACUAGGCUACCGGCUGAAUUUAAGCAUAUAAGUAAGCUGAGGAAAAGAAAAUGAAUAUGAUUCCCUUAGUAAGGGCGACUGAACCGGGAAUAGCUCAAAAUGUAAAUCCGUGGCAAUAGCCAUGGAAUUGUAGUCUUGAGUGCUUCUUCUAGUUUCGGCUCCCGCGUAAGUUUUUUUGGAAAAAAACGUCAAAGAGGGUGAGAGCCCCGUGCACGUGGCGAGUUAGCGAAACAUCCAGAGUGGCAUCUUAGAGUCGCGUACUUUGGAAGUGGUGCGCUAAAUGGGAGGUAAUUUUCUUCUAAAGCUAAAUAUUGGCCUGAGACCGAUAGCAAACAAGUACCGUGAGGGAAAGAUGAAAAGGACUUUGGAAAGAGAGUUAAAAGUGCCUGAAAUCGCUCAGAGGUAAGCGAAUGGAACCAGUUUCUUUAGGCUUGAGAUUGCGGUAGGUUAAGGGGAAUUUCAGUUCCGUAAGGGCUGUUGAUCUGACCUGGACACCUGCAGUGUUUCUCUUGUCUAGGCGUCAUCGUGCAUUAGGUGCUCGAAGAUAAUCGCUAGGUGAUCGGUCCUCGCUGAUGUGUUGCUCGUUCCCUGGUUGAGAUUCUUGCCCUGCUGUAAUUGCGCGUAUGGAUUUCACUGCGGCAUAAUCUUGGUGAAGAUUGCGCGGAGUACUCGUACUGCUCGUUUUUAAUCCUUGAUGAGUUGCAACAUUUCCAUUCCCGAACGAUGGCUAAAUGGUUUUAUUCUACCCGUCUUGAAACACGGACCAAGGAGUCGACUUCUAACGCGAGUGUGCGGGUGGCAAACCUGUACGCGGAAUGAAAGUAAUGGUUACGAAUUUUUAUGCUGUAACGGCCGACUUCGAUCUAUUGAGAGAGGUUUGAGUUUUAGCGUUAAGGGUCGGACCCGAAAGAUGGUGAACUAUGCGUGA
This 1481-nucleotide ribosomal RNA is filed under the name Amoebophrya sp. ex Gymnodinium instriatum. RNAcentral's name for it is "eukaryotic LSU rRNA". The stretch from base 540 to 1481 matches the Rfam family "Eukaryotic large subunit ribosomal RNA", at positions 1 to 840 of the family's 3401-position model. The record is from RNAcentral. Lineage: Eukaryota; Dinophyceae; Syndiniales; Amoebophryaceae.